This 431-nucleotide ribosomal RNA is filed under the name uncultured bacterium. Its description in RNAcentral is "partial 16S ribosomal RNA". It matches the Rfam family "Bacterial small subunit ribosomal RNA", at positions 338 to 795 of the family's 1533-position model. The record is from RNAcentral.
CCUACGGGAGGCAGCAGUGGGGAAUAUUGGACAAUGGGGGAAACCCUGAUCCAGCAAUGCCGCGUGAGUGAUGAAGGCCUUCGGGUUGUAAAGCUCUUUCGCCCACGACGCGGUAGUGGGAGAAGAAGCCCCGGCUAACUUCGUGCCAGCAGCCGCGGUAAUACGAAGGGGGCUAGCGUUGUUCGGAGUUACUGGGCGUAAAGGGCGCGUAGGCGGCAGUUCAAGUCGGGUGUGAAAGCCCGGGGCUCAACCCCGGAAUAGCACUCGAGACUGGGCAGCUCGAGGAUGGGAGAGGAUGGUGGAAUUCCCAGUGUAGAGGUGAAAUUCGUAGAUAUUGGGAAGAACACCGGUGGCGAAGGCGGCCAUCUGGACAUUCUGACGCUGAGGCGCGAAAGCGUGGGGAGCAAACAGGAUUAGAUACCCUUGUAGUC